This 113-nucleotide non-coding RNA is filed under the name Plesiomonas shigelloides. Its description in RNAcentral is "Ribosomal S15 leader". It matches the Rfam family "Ribosomal S15 leader". From Rfam's summary of the family: The E. coli Ribosomal S15 gene 5' UTR can form two alternative structures. One that is a series of three hairpins, The other includes a pseudoknot. The record is from RNAcentral. Lineage: Bacteria; Pseudomonadati; Pseudomonadota; Gammaproteobacteria; Enterobacterales; Enterobacteriaceae.
UGCUGAAUUAGAGAUCGGCGCCGCGUUUUAUGAACUUAAUGCUUUUAGGAGCGCACAAUGUCUCUAAGCACUGAAGCUGUUGCAAAAAUCGUUGCUGAAUUUGGCCGUGAUGA